Sardina pilchardus (European sardine) is the source of this 288-nucleotide long non-coding RNA. RefSeq lists it as uncharacterized. The transcript has 3 exons. NCBI's taxonomy places the organism in Eukaryota, Metazoa, Chordata, Actinopteri, Clupeiformes, Clupeidae. The record is from RefSeq and is a predicted model, not a curated record.
CUACGCUAUCCCACAAAUCACCGGGGGUCAAAUAACCGUAGAAGAAGACAAGCCGCCGGGAAAAUCAAAGGUGACGGGCCGACAGCGACAACUUCAACCGAUGUUUAUAAAUGCAACACUGAUCAGCUACCUGCACCCCUUUGGAUGAAGAAGGCUGCAUUUGCGAACCAAUUCUUGUGACAAGACAAGAGAGCAGAGUUAUUAAUACUUUUGGUUUACCACAUCCACAACAUGGCCAACUGGAGCACCCACAAGGAUCUCGUGAAGGAAGUCCACAAGCCCUUUUGC